RNAcentral lists this ribosomal RNA (484 nucleotides) under uncultured bacterium. RNAcentral describes it as "bacterial SSU rRNA". It matches the Rfam family "Bacterial small subunit ribosomal RNA", at positions 28 to 507 of the family's 1533-position model. The record is from RNAcentral.
GAUGAACGCUAGCGGGAGGCUUAACACAUGCAAGUCGAGGGGCAGCAUAGGGUAGCAAUACUCUGAUGGCGACCGGCAAACGGGUGAGUAACGCGUAUGCAACCUACCUGUACAGGGGGAUAACCCGGAGAAAUUCGGACUAAUAUCCCGUAAUAAUAUCCGGAGGCAUCUUUGGAUAUUAAAGUUCCGACGGUACGGGAUGGGCAUGCGUAACAUUAACUGGUUGGUAAGGUAACGGCUUACCAAGGCUAUGAUGUUUAGGGGUCCUGAGAGGGAGGUCCCCCACACUGGAACUGAGACACGGUCCAGACUCCUACGGGAGGCAGCAGUGAGGAAUAUUGGACAAUGGAUGAAAAUCUGAUCCAGCCAUGCCGCGUGCAGGAAGGCGGCCCUAUGGGUUGUAAACUGCUUUUGUACGGGAGCAAUAAGGUCUACGAGUAGAUUGAUGAGAGUACUGUACGAAUAAGCAUCGGCUAACUCCGUG